CCAGAUCAACAGUUUGUUGAGGAAAGCUUUGAAUUCAGUUGAUGCCUAUUCUUGCUGUGAAGAGGAGCAAUCUGAACUGAAGGGGAGAACAGACUCCAAAGAAGAGUAGAUGUGAUGACACCAAGAAAGAGCAGCCACAUAUUACCUCGAGAGGUUAACCGGAAUGCAAAUCAACAGAAUAUGAUGCUGACCAAGUACCAGGAAGAGGUGUCCCCAUCACUGUAGA
Molecule: long non-coding RNA, 226 nt
Organism: Haliotis rubra (blacklip abalone)
Lineage: Eukaryota; Metazoa; Mollusca; Gastropoda; Lepetellida; Haliotidae
Exons: 3
Source: RefSeq, a predicted model, not a curated record